Molecule: ribosomal RNA, 207 nt
Filed under: uncultured bacterium
Lineage: Bacteria
Description: partial 16S ribosomal RNA
Rfam family: Bacterial small subunit ribosomal RNA
Source: RNAcentral
AGCGUAGGCGGUUCGUCGCGUCCGGUGUGAAAGUCCAUCGCUUAACGGUGGAUCCGCGCCGGGUACGGGCGGGCUUGAGUGCGGUAGGGGAGACUGGAAUUCCCGGUGUAACGGUGGAAUGUGUAGAUAUCGGGAAGAACACCAAUGGCGAAGGCAGGUCUCUGGGCCGUCACUGACGCUGAGGAGCGAAAGCGUGGGGAGCGAACA